CCGGCGCACGGGUGAGUAACGCGUAUGCAACUUACCUAUCAGAGGGGGAUAACCCGGCGAAAGUCGGACUAAUACCGCAUAAAGCAGGGAUCCCGCAUGGGAAUAUUUGCUAAAGAUUCAUCGCUGAUAGAUAGGCAUGCGUUCCAUUAGGCAGUUGGCGGGGUAACGGCCCACCAAACCGACGAUGGAUAGGGGUUCUGAGAGGAAGGUCCCCCACAUUGGAACUGAGACACGGUCCAA
This 240-nucleotide ribosomal RNA is filed under the name uncultured bacterium. RNAcentral describes it as "partial 16S ribosomal RNA". It matches the Rfam family "Bacterial small subunit ribosomal RNA", at positions 95 to 334 of the family's 1533-position model. The record is from RNAcentral.